CCAACUUAAACUUUGGAGAUAAUCCCUAACAGGAUUAAAGUCCUCCACAAGCAGGCAGAGGCAAGCUAUUCAGAAAAACAAGGUCAUGCUGCAAUUUUUUUUUUUUUUUGGUAAGCACAGGAAUCAACAAAGAGAUGUUAUAUAACUUCUAUUUAUAUCCUACUUGCUCACUAGCUGCAGGCAUACGAGAGGAGCCGAGAAGGGAAUUUAAUGAGCUCUCGGGGCUUGCUCACCUUCCAGAGCUGGUAGGAGCCAGCUUGUUUUUGAAGUGUGUCAGCAAAUGAAACUGGUGGUGGGUGGGUGGUUUGGGUAGGUGGACUGACUUGUUGCUAUGGUUUUCUUUAAUUCCUCCGUCUCUCAA
Molecule: small RNA, 361 nt
Filed under: Apteryx owenii (little spotted kiwi)
Lineage: Eukaryota; Metazoa; Chordata; Aves; Apterygiformes; Apterygidae
Description: sRNA (ENSAOWG00000018034.1)
Source: RNAcentral